UUAUCGGAGAGUUUGAUCCUGGCUCAGGAUGAACGCUGGCGGCGUGCCUAAUACAUGCAAGUCGUGCGGGGGAAGAUCCUUCGGGAUCGGACCUAGCGGCGAACGGGUGAGUAACACGUGGGCAACCUGCCCGCAAGACGGGGAUAAC
Molecule: ribosomal RNA, 148 nt
Filed under: Thermoactinomyces sp. CICC 10521
Lineage: Bacteria; Bacillati; Bacillota; Bacilli; Caryophanales; Thermoactinomycetaceae
Description: partial 16S ribosomal RNA
Rfam family: Bacterial small subunit ribosomal RNA
Source: RNAcentral